AGGCCUGCAGGGUUUCCCAUAACCCACUGGUUGAGGAAGAGAAUGGAGCCUUGAUGAGAAACAAAUCAGAAUGUGAUGCUGGAACUAGGCAGAAGUGAACGUUACUACAUCACAUUCCCCAGAGGUUUCAGUCCAUGGCUGGCUGGCUCCAAGGAAGAAACAUCCUUGAAAAAGGGCAUGGUGACAGAAAGCCCCUCAACUCCUGAUGUCUGAGAAGUAGAGAAGAAGAGCAGGAAAGGAAGAGGCCAGAGACCAGGCACAGAAGAAGAAAUGAAAGUAAAAGAACAAAAAGAAAAAAAUGGACUGCCACCACUUGCUUAGAAAUUGGAAGGCAAAGUACCUCUGGGCUAAUAAACCUAACCUUUGACCUUGCUGUGGCUGCUUAUGUCCUUACUAGAACGAGAAGUUGGAUACCCCUCUUACUUUUCUUUUGGAAAGUUGGUCCUCUACACUGAUUUGCAGAAGCAAAUUUUGUCUCACAGUUUUGUGCCUUACAGUUUUUCCUCACAUGAGGGGCCCUUUGUAGCAGUGUGCAACUAUGGUGGCACAGAAGAUAAAAAUUUGUG
Molecule: long non-coding RNA, 566 nt
Organism: Heterocephalus glaber (naked mole-rat)
Lineage: Eukaryota; Metazoa; Chordata; Mammalia; Rodentia; Bathyergidae
Source: Ensembl